RNAcentral lists this ribosomal RNA (329 nucleotides) under uncultured eukaryote. RNAcentral describes it as "partial 18S ribosomal RNA". It matches the Rfam family "Eukaryotic small subunit ribosomal RNA", at positions 1470 to 1796 of the family's 1831-position model. The record is from RNAcentral.
CCCUUAGAUGUCCUGGGCCGCACGCGCGCUACACUGAGUGUCUGAGAUACGAGUCUGCCUGGUCCGGCAAGGUCUAGGUAAUCGCUAAAAGACACAUCAUGCUUGGGAUAGAUUAUUGCAAAUAUUAAUCUUGAACGAGGAAUUCCUAGUAAGCGCAAGUCAACAGCUUGCGUUGAUUACGUCCCUGCCCUUUGUACACACCGCCCGUCGCUCCUACCGAUUGGGUGUGCUGGUGAAAUGUUCGGAUCGGCCGUUUGUCGCGGUUUCCGCGUCAUGUGGCUGGGAAGUUCAUUAAACCCUCCCACCUAGAGGAAGGAGAAGUCGUAACA